UGGGGAAUAUUGGGCAAUGGGGGCAACCCUGACCCAGCGACGCCGCGUGGGGGAAGACGGCCUUCGGGUUGUAAACCUCUUUUGUACGGGAAGAAGGAAGUGACGGUACUGUACGAAUAAGUCCCGGCUAACUACGUGCCAGCAGCCGCGGUAAUACGUAGGGGACGAGCGUUGUCCGGAAUUACUGGGCGUAAGGGGCGCGCAGGCUGUGCUGCAAGUCAGCUGUUAAAUGUCUGGGCUUAACCCGGGCAUGCGGUUGAGACUGCAGUGCUGGAGUGCUGUAGAGGCAAGUGGAAUUCCCAGUGUAGUGGUGAAAUGCGUAGAUAUUGGGAAGAACACCGGUGGCGAAGGCGACUUGCUGGGCAGCAACUGACGCUGAGGCGCGAAAGCCAGGGGAGCAAACGG
Molecule: ribosomal RNA, 405 nt
Filed under: uncultured bacterium
Lineage: Bacteria
Description: bacterial SSU rRNA
Rfam family: Bacterial small subunit ribosomal RNA
Source: RNAcentral